RNAcentral lists this ribosomal RNA (305 nucleotides) under uncultured bacterium. Its description in RNAcentral is "bacterial SSU rRNA". It matches the Rfam family "Bacterial small subunit ribosomal RNA", at positions 331 to 635 of the family's 1533-position model. The record is from RNAcentral.
UUGGACUUACGGGAGGCAGCAGUGAGGAAUAUUGGUCAAUGGGCGGAAGCCUGAACCAGCCAAGUCGCGUGAGGGAAUAAGGCCCUACGGGUCGUAAACCUCUUUUGCCGGGGAGCAAGGGCGGGGACGUGUCCCGGCCCGGAGAGUACCCGGAGAAAAAGCAUCGGCUAACUCCGUGCCAGCAGCCGCGGUAAUACGGAGGAUGCGAGCGUUAUCCGGAUUUAUUGGGUUUAAAGGGUGCGCAGGCGGUCUGUUAAGUCAGCGGUCAAAGCCCGGGGCUCAACCCCGGCCCGCCGUUGAAACUG